Molecule: ribosomal RNA, 253 nt
Filed under: uncultured bacterium
Lineage: Bacteria
Description: partial 16S ribosomal RNA
Rfam family: Bacterial small subunit ribosomal RNA
Source: RNAcentral
UACGGAGGGUGCAAGCGUUAAUCGGAAUUACUGGGCGUAAAGCGUGCGCAGGCGGUUUUGUAAGUCUGAUGUGAAAUCCCCGGGCUCAACCUGGGAAUUGCAUUGGAGACUGCAAGGCUAGAAUCUGGGAGAGGGGGGUAGAAUUCCACGUGUAGCAGUGAAAUGCGUAGAGAUGUGGAGGAACACCGAUGGCGAAGGCAGCCCCCUGGGUCAAGAUUGACGCUCAUGCACGAAAGCGUGGGGAGCAAACAGG